AAACACAGGUGUAGUGCUCAUGAACCCUUUGAGUUUGCUGUCGUUCUUGCCAUUUCCAAAGGCUGUUGCUGCUGUGUGACAGAUCUGCUCUCCCUCUCCAUAUAGCACAAACCUGUGGUGAAGAGGAAGCCUAGAAUAUGGAAAGAUCAUGGCACUGGAGUUCUGGUUUGAGAAUGUCCCAGAUGUCGGAUCCAGGGAAAGUUUUUUACCUUCUCAACCCCUAAUCCUUCUUCUGUAAGAUACCAUAUAGAGACAUGGAAUGGAUGACCUCAAUUAAGAAGAGUGAGGAGUGAAAGAAGAGACCCAGAAUGGAGCCCUGGGGAGCUUCAACAUUUGGAGGACAAAUAGAUGGACUGGUGUCCUUAUAAGGAGAGGAAGCCACCCCAGGAGUGCACACAUCCAGACAAAAAAGCCAUGUGAGACCAAAGCAAGAAGACAGUCAUCUGCAAGGCCAGGACAGAGCUCUCACCAGAAACCAAACCUUCUGGCACCUUGAUCUUGGGCUUCCAGCUCCAGAACCGUGAGCAAUAAAUUUCUGUUUUUAAGCCACCCACUCUGUGGUGUUCUGUUGUGGAAACCCAAGCAGACUAAUACACCCACUUUGUAAGAUUAGCAUCUUUUAUUUGCUUUAUAAUAAUCAUAUUUUUAUUUUCCACGACUUCUUUCUCGUUCCCUAAUUGUCUUUUUUUCUUUUGAUCUUGAUAUUGUCUGCUGGCUGCAAAAUGUUCUCAAAUCACUGUGAGAAUAAUAAUUAGAACUUUAAAGGUUGUUCUUUUCUUCAGCUAUUUUCUCUAAAAGCUCUUUUUUUCUAUUUGUUU
This 818-nucleotide long non-coding RNA is filed under the name Equus asinus (donkey). RNAcentral's name for it is "lncRNA (ENSEASG00005026130.1)". Lineage: Eukaryota; Metazoa; Chordata; Mammalia; Perissodactyla; Equidae. The record is from RNAcentral.